This 18-nucleotide unclassified non-coding RNA is filed under the name Mus musculus (house mouse). RNAcentral's name for it is "oocyte_clustered_small_RNA10801". Lineage: Eukaryota; Metazoa; Chordata; Mammalia; Rodentia; Muridae. The record is from RNAcentral.
CGGCCGCCGGCCCUCGCC